This 65-nucleotide transfer RNA is filed under the name Trissolcus basalis. Its description in RNAcentral is "tRNA-Arg". Lineage: Eukaryota; Metazoa; Arthropoda; Insecta; Hymenoptera; Scelionidae. The record is from RNAcentral.
AAAUAAGAAGCAAUUUUGCAUUUAAUUUCGACUUAAAAGAUAGGGAAUAAUAUUCCCCUUAUUUA